AAUAGAUACCCCAGGUAGUCCACGCCGUAAACGAUGAGUGCUAAGUGUUAGAGGUUUCCGCCCGUUUAGUGCUGAAGUUAACGCAUUAAGCACUCCGCCUGGGGAGUACGGCCGCAAGGCUGAAACUCAAAGGAAUUGACGGGGGCCCGCACAAGCGGUGGAGCAUGUGGUUUAAUUCGAAGCAACGCGAAGAACCUUACCAGGUCUUGACAUCCUCUGACAACCCUAGAGAUAGGGCUUCUCCUUCGGGAGCAGAGUGACAGGUGGUGCAUGGUUGUCGUCAGCUCGUGUCGUGAGAUGUUGGGUUAAGUCCCGCAACGAGCGCAACCCUUGAUCUUAGUUGCCAUCAUUAAGUUGGGCACUCUAAGGUGACUGCCGGUGACAAACCGGAGGAAGGUGGGGAUGACGUCAAAUCAUCAUGCCCCUUAUGACCUGGGCUACACACGUGCUACAAUGGACGGUACAAAGAGCUGCAAGACCGCGAGGUGGAGCUAAUCUCAUAAAACCGUUCUCAGUUCGGA
Molecule: ribosomal RNA, 521 nt
Filed under: uncultured bacterium
Lineage: Bacteria
Description: bacterial SSU rRNA
Rfam family: Bacterial small subunit ribosomal RNA
Source: RNAcentral